GACUGAGUGCCGUCCAACUGGGGACAUUUGCUCUGCUCAGUUCACUGCCUUCAACAAGCUUGACGCAUUGAACGAGGGCUCAGUCGAUAAUGUACUCGGUAAAUACUCUCUCCCGGCUAGAGUGAGCAAAGCCCAGGGAGCGGGUGGUUCUUCAGUAUUACUCAGGUGUUUGUGGCAGGGCCAGCUGUGCGGCUGCCAGAGCGAAUGUGACCAGGAAGCCUCUGUCCCCCCGAGGUGGCCAGCGAUCCUGUUACAUGUGCCAUAGGCAGAAGAUCUAUACAACCUGGCGUUUGGCCGUGGCUUCCAGGACAGGCUGGAUGCAGAGUGAAGUCCUCUCCUCACUGUCAAUGUUUGCAGAUGUCUUCUUGUAUAAACUUCGUAUUUCUUGAGACUUUCAAUUAGGUUUUUACUUAACUGGACUUUUAAAAUUGCCAUGCACAUAACUCUACCAGUUACAAUCUUGAGCUAACAUGGGUUUUGGUUUUGGUUUUGGUUUUACUUUGAUGAAUGUUUAACAUUUGCAUGCUGGAUGUGGGGGUGGAGGUCAUUUAUCUGCUUUUCAUUGCCUUCUUGGUUAUACUUAGUGACUUUCAGGUAAGGUGUGGAAGGCGUGGUACAGGGUGAAUUGCAGGCCGCACUGUGGCGCCGUGGAGGACAGGUGCGGGCUGCAGUGGUGUGCACAGUGGAUGAGAGACAAGAGGAGACUUCCAUCCUUGAGGGAAACACACAACAAUUUAAAAAACUGAUCGUCUAGCUUACAUGAGGUCCAACAAAUUCAGUUUGCAAAGUUUAACUUCCAAGUUAAUUUAGUAAUUUUUCCCCUAAGUCAUUAAUUUAGUAGCUUAUGUUUAAAUAUAUUUCUUUUGUCUAAAGGAGGCCAUAAAUUCUAAAAUGAAUGACUAAACAUGUAAUAAUUUAGGCAUACAGCACCUGAAGGGAAAACUGCCAGUAUGCUAAAAUAUUGGAUACAGAUGCUUUUAAAAAAUAUAAUGUAGCAUUCUUACAAUGCAUGUGCUCUUAGCGUGUAACUUGGUGGGUAGUUUUGAACUAUAUUUGUGGGAAUGUGUAUCUUGAAUACUUGAGGCUACCACUGCAGAUGUGUGUGUGAGAUGUAUAAAUACUGAAUGUUAUUCUCCCUUCCCUUAAAUGGAAAACAUUAGCUCCCUUUUAUUUCCAUUUUAUUUUUAUUUUUGAAGUGGACUCUUGCUCGUUGCCCAGGCUGGAGUGCAAUGGCACAAUCUCGGCCCACUGCAAUUUCUGCUUCCCGGGUUGAAGUGAUUCUCCUCUCUCAGCCUCCUGAGUAGCUGGGACUACAGGCACCCGCCACCACGCCCAGCUAA
Molecule: long non-coding RNA, 1340 nt
Filed under: Macaca fascicularis (crab-eating macaque)
Lineage: Eukaryota; Metazoa; Chordata; Mammalia; Primates; Cercopithecidae
Description: lncRNA (ENSMFAG00000064136.1)
Source: RNAcentral